AUGGCUAUGGAGAGGUUCUUCACGGCGCUCGUCUUCUGCGAGGCACCGCUGGACGGCUACGGCACGUCGGUGCUCACCGCCGGCACGGUCAAAAGGCUGGUCUCGGGUGGUGGUGACGCGACGAAGCCGUUGGUGGCUAUCAAGCCGGACGCUGAGAAGGGGCAGGGUUUCUUCACUGGCAAGCAGAUGGCGCAGCGGCGUGCUGGGUUCGAGCUCGCGUUCGACGGCCUCAAUUGCUUUGACACCGUCGUCAUGCACUGA
This 261-nucleotide ribosomal RNA is filed under the name Triticum aestivum (bread wheat). Its description in RNAcentral is "partial small subunit ribosomal RNA". Lineage: Eukaryota; Viridiplantae; Streptophyta; Magnoliopsida; Poales; Poaceae. The record is from RNAcentral.